This 91-nucleotide ribosomal RNA is filed under the name Propionibacterium sp. Lineage: Bacteria; Bacillati; Actinomycetota; Actinomycetes; Propionibacteriales; Propionibacteriaceae. The record is from RNAcentral.
ACCCGGACCCAUCCCGAACCCGGAAGUUAAGCCUUUCAGCGCUGAUGGUACUGCACACGCCAGUGUGUGGGAGAGUAAGACACCGCCGAAC